AAGUCGUAACAAGGUAACCGUAGGUGAACCUGCGGUUGGAUCAUUAACGAAUUAUGGACGUUAUCUGGCAACUCAGACGUUAGUCGAAGGUUGUUAGAUGGCGGACAGACGAGGGGUCACUCUUCUAGCGCAAGUUAGCUGGAUGGCACCUCAAACCUUAAAACCUUGCCGGGUAUUGGCUACUUGAAGGAAACUUCCUGCAGUGAAUGUCCGAGCGAACACAAUUUGAACCUGUUGUCUUGUGUCUGGCCUGAACUACUCUUUGCGGAAUAGUCCAUGUCAGUCCAGGACGACAGCCCCCUAGAAAAACAUCUUGUUAAUCUUUUUUAAACAACUACCAAAGCCACUCCAAACUAACAAUUUGAAGCAGCCGCGAUAGAAGAAUGAAAAAACAACUUUUGACAACGGAUCUCUAGGCUCUC
RNAcentral lists this unclassified non-coding RNA (422 nucleotides) under fungal sp. RNAcentral describes it as "partial internal transcribed spacer region". The stretch from base 1 to 46 matches the Rfam family "Eukaryotic small subunit ribosomal RNA", at positions 1786 to 1831 of the family's 1831-position model. Lineage: Eukaryota; Fungi. The record is from RNAcentral.